GCGCUCCUGGAAUACAGAACCAGGCAGGAUGAUUAGAACACUACUUCCUUUGAAUCUUAUCAGGUUAUAUAUGAUAAGGAAGCAGCAAAAAUAACUGCCAUGGAAGAUGGAUGAAAAAAAAGAGACAGAGAAAAAUAGAAUGGUGAAUGAAUAAGGGUGGGAAGAACAAUAAAAGGACACUGAUCGAAAAAGGGAAGAUAAACAACCAAUUAAAAUUAUCACAAGGAAAUGAGUUAUAUAAGACGAAGACCAAAAUUAAUUGAUGAAUGAACGAAUGAGUGAAGGAACGACUGAACGAUAGAAGUACGAUGGUUCUCAGUAAGUGGUUUUCGUUGUGGAUCAAGCUUAAUGUAAAAUCAGAUUGCUUGAGGGCUUCUUUUCCUAAAGAAUAUUAUUUGCCUUCGUGGUCGAAAAAUACUUAAUUUGAUUAAUACAAGGCGACGAAAUGCAUUAAAAGACGAAAAAAGACACGGAGUUAUCAAGAGAGAAGAAGGAAGUACUGGACAUUUGAAGAACACCGAUAUUACAAGACAGAAUCCAAAACAAAUCAAGGGAAAUAUAAUUUACAAACAUGACAGGAAACGUUGAUAUUAGCAAAUGAAUAAAGACAUGUUAUUAUUGAA
Long non-coding RNA from Actinia tenebrosa (Australian red waratah sea anemone), 623 nucleotides. NCBI's taxonomy places the organism in Eukaryota, Metazoa, Cnidaria, Anthozoa, Actiniaria, Actiniidae. The record is from RefSeq and is a predicted model, not a curated record.